CAUUGAGACUGAAGUACCAGUAAGCAGAGGUACCAAGUACCCACAAUUCAUAUUUUCCUCCUAAAGCUUAGAACAAAAUGUAUCAGAAACAUACUUGACUGACAGGCGAAGAGAAAAUUUCAUUUGAUGUUGCCUGGCCCUCCUCUGUCCUCUAGUGGUCAUGUGAAGAAUUACUUCAUUGUUUGUUCAAGAUCUACCCAUGGUGGGUCAGCUGAGAACAAUCACCUUCAAUCCUGCAUGCCAGGACUGGGAAUGUGGAAACAUUCUGUGAGCAAAUAAGGCCCAGGGGUAGCAAUUUCAUGUUUUCUAAAAAUUAAAUAAAAACAGCUUUCAUCACAA
Ictidomys tridecemlineatus (thirteen-lined ground squirrel) is the source of this 339-nucleotide non-coding RNA. NCBI's taxonomy places the organism in Eukaryota, Metazoa, Chordata, Mammalia, Rodentia, Sciuridae. The record is from RefSeq and is a predicted model, not a curated record.